This 876-nucleotide ribosomal RNA is filed under the name uncultured Anaerolineae bacterium. RNAcentral describes it as "bacterial SSU rRNA". It matches the Rfam family "Bacterial small subunit ribosomal RNA", at positions 8 to 893 of the family's 1533-position model. Lineage: Bacteria; Bacillati; Chloroflexota; Anaerolineae. The record is from RNAcentral.
AGGGUUUGAUCCUGGCUCAGGAUGAACGCUGGCGGCGUGCCUAAUACAUGCAAGUCGAACGAGGUGCUUUUGUAGCAAUACGAGAGUAUCCUAGUGGCGAACGGGUGAGUAACGCGUUGGUGACCUGCCCCAAAGUGUGGGAUAACAGUCCGAAAGGAUUGCUAAUACCGCAUGUGGUCUCUGGAUCUAGAAACCGGUGACUAAAGGAGUAAUCCGCUUUGGGAGGGACCUGCGUCCCAUCAGCUAGUUGGUGAGGUAACGGCUCACCAAGGCGACGACGGGUAGGGGACCUGAGAGGGUGGCCCCCCACAAUGGAACUGAAACACGGUCCAUACACCUACGGGUGGCAGCAGUAGGGAAUAUUGCUCAAUGGGCGAAAGCCUGAAGCAGCAACGCCGCGUGUGCGAUGAAGGUCUUCGGAUCGUAAAGCACUUUUCUACGAGAUGAGAAAGGACAGUAUCGUAGGAAUAAGUCUCGGCUAACUACGUGCCAGCAGCCGCGGUAACACGUAGGAGGCGAGCGUUAUCCGGAUUCACUGGGCGUAAAGCGCGUGCAGGCGGUUUGGUAAGUUGGAUGUGAAAGCUCCCGGCUCAACUGGGAGAGGUCGUUCAAUACUACCGAACUAGAGAGUAGAAGAGGAAGAUGGAAUUCCCGGUGUAGUGGUGAAAUGCGUAGAUAUCGGGAGGAACACCAGUGGCGAAGGCGAUCUUCUGGUCUAUUUCUGACGCUCAGACGCGACAGCUAGGGUAGUAAACGGGAUUAGAGACCCCGGUAAUCCUAGCCGUAAACGAUGUGAACUUGGCGUCGGUGGCUUAAACACCAUCGGUGCCGAAGCAAACGCGAUAAGUUCACCGCCUGGGGACUACGGCCGCAAGG